AUGGACCUACGGGGCGCAGCAGUGAGGAAUAUUGGUCAAUGGGCGGAAGCCUGAACCAGCCAAGUCGCGUGAGGGAAUAAGGCCCUACGGGUCGUAAACCUCUUUUGCCGGGGAGCAAGGGCGGGGACGUGUCCCGGCCCGGAGCGUACCCGGAGAAAAAGCAUCGGCUAACUCCGUGCCAGCAGCCGCGGUAAUACGGAGGAUGCGAGCGUUAUCCGGAUUUAUUGGGGUUAAAGGGUGCGUAGGCGGGCUUGUAAGUCAGCGGUAAAAAUUCGGGGCUCAACCACGCACGGCCGUUGAAACUG
This 305-nucleotide ribosomal RNA is filed under the name uncultured bacterium. RNAcentral describes it as "bacterial SSU rRNA". It matches the Rfam family "Bacterial small subunit ribosomal RNA", at positions 333 to 635 of the family's 1533-position model. The record is from RNAcentral.